RNAcentral lists this ribosomal RNA (458 nucleotides) under uncultured Desulfobulbus sp. Its description in RNAcentral is "bacterial SSU rRNA". It matches the Rfam family "Bacterial small subunit ribosomal RNA", at positions 925 to 1382 of the family's 1533-position model. Lineage: Bacteria; Pseudomonadati; Thermodesulfobacteriota; Desulfobulbia; Desulfobulbales; Desulfobulbaceae. The record is from RNAcentral.
ACAAGCGGAGGAGUAUGUGGUUAAUUCGAUGCAACGCGAAGAACCUUACCUGGUCUUGACAUCCGGAGACCUUAGGAACUAGGGGUGCUUCCAUCUGGAAGAAUCUGGAGACAGGUGCUGCAUGGCUGUCGUCAGCUCGUGUCGUGAGAUGUUGGGUUAAGUCCCGCAACGAGCGCAACCCUUGCCUUUAGUUGCCAGCAGUUCGGCUGGGCACUCUAAAGGGACUGCCGGUGUUAAACCGGAGGAAGGUGGGGAUGACGUCAAGUCCUCAUGGCCUUUAUGACCAGGGCUACACACGUACUACAAUGGCCGAUACAAAGGGCAGCGACACUGCGAGGUGAAGCCAAUCCCGUAAAAUCGGUCUCAGUCCGGAUUGGAGUCUGCAACUCGACUCCAUGAAGUUGGAAUCGCUAGUAAUCGUGGAUCAGCAUGCCACGGUGAAUACGUUCCCGGGCCUU